This 400-nucleotide ribosomal RNA is filed under the name uncultured Spirochaeta sp. RNAcentral describes it as "bacterial SSU rRNA". It matches the Rfam family "Bacterial small subunit ribosomal RNA", at positions 977 to 1382 of the family's 1533-position model. Lineage: Bacteria; Pseudomonadati; Spirochaetota; Spirochaetia; Spirochaetales; Spirochaetaceae. The record is from RNAcentral.
GGGCUUGACAUAUACAGGAAUGUUGUAGAGAUACAGCAGCCGCUUGCGGUCUGUAUACAGGUGCUGCAUGGCUGUCGUCAGCUCGUGCUGUGAAGUGUGGGUUAAGUCCCGCACGAGCGCAACCCUAUCAUCUGUUGCCAGCAUUUAAGGUGGGGACUCAGAUGAGACUGCCGGUGACAAACCGGAGGAAGUGGGGACGACGUCAAGUCAUCAUGGCCCUUAUGUCCUGGGCUACACACGUGCUACAAUGGCCGGUACAGAGUGAAGCGAAACCGCGAGGUGAAGCAAAACGCAGAAAGCCGGUCUCAGUACGGAUUGGAGACUGAAACUCGACUUCAUGAAGUUGGAAUCGCUAGUAAUCGCGCAUCAGCAUGGCGCGGUGAAUACGUUCCCGGGCCUU